Molecule: long non-coding RNA, 916 nt
Organism: Dreissena polymorpha
Lineage: Eukaryota; Metazoa; Mollusca; Bivalvia; Myida; Dreissenidae
Exons: 3
Source: RefSeq, a predicted model, not a curated record
AUACAACAUUAGCUUCUGGUGCUGAAAAAUGGUAUAUAUGCCGCUCAGUUGGAUGUGAAAAUAAAAGACAAACGGCUGCUAAAAACCCCGCAGUAUAGAGACCAAGAUAGAAAAGGGAAAAACCAACGAAGCAAUAUCGUUUGAAGAGUAAAAAACUGCAGAACAGAAUAAAAACAUCACCACCAGAAUGGCAUAUAUACGAUUUGUCCUUGUCUGUGUCGCCAUGGUUACCAUGCUGUUGGGCGUGGAGGGCCGACUGUGUCAGAUGGACCCCGUCGCCAUGACGUGCACGGAUAUUGUGCCACGUGGAGGGCCGUUAAAGGGCGCAUCCCUGUGCUCGAGCGCUGGAAAAGAAUGUCAACUGAAAAAACGACGGAAGGCAAUUGAAUGCAGGUGUGAGCCGCCCGGGAGGGAUAUCAGCUAAGGGAGAGGAGCUGAAGGCCAAGUUCAAAGAUGGAUGUGAGAAAGUGUUGGGCCACAAGAUGUUAAAUUACUUCAACAUGUUAAAUGUUUAAAUGUGGCAAUCAUGUUUUUAUAAUAUAUUAUUUUUGCUUGUGUAACAUUUUCAUACAAUGGAAGAACUUUGGUGUUGUAAACUAUUGAAAAAAUCAAGAGAAAUCAAAUAAAAAUUAAGAAAACUUGUUCCAUUUCAUGAAACUUUUUUUUAAUACUAACUUUGAUAUAAACACAUCUGCGUUCUUGUUAAGCAUUUAUAACAGUUUAAGCUUUUUUUCAUAUCUUACAACAUGGUCAGCAUUUUCAGCACAGUUUGAUAGAAUUUGAUUUGUUUUCCAUUGCUUUUUACACGGUGUAAAAUAUGUUUCUUAUAGCCAUGCUUUUUUUGGUCAAACGCUCACCAGAGCUUUGUGCCUUGUUUAUGUUUACUUGCUGUCUGAAAAUAAAAAUUAACUAAUCA